RNAcentral lists this long non-coding RNA (1175 nucleotides) under Durio zibethinus. RNAcentral describes it as "long non-coding RNA (DZIB_LNC002053)". The record is from RNAcentral. Lineage: Eukaryota; Viridiplantae; Streptophyta; Magnoliopsida; Malvales; Malvaceae.
UUUUUUUUCUUCUUUAUAAUUUUAAAACCUCAAACUUCUUUUUUUGUGCACAUUCUUUUAUUUUUAUUUGUAUUUUUUAUUAAUUUUUAUUUUAUUUUUCAUCUUUCAUAUUUUAUAUCUUUUUCCUUUAUUUGUUAUAUAUAUAUUUUUUGUUUUUCUUUGUACGUUCUAAACUAAAAGUUUUUUUCCAUUUUGUUUUUGAAAUUUUUAUUCAUUUUGUCUUUUUAUAUUUUUUUGAUUCGUAAAUUUUUUAUUUUCUUGCUUUGUUACUUUUUGUUUUUGUUUAUUUUUAUUUUUUCCUUUUUUCGUAUUUUAUUUAAUUUUUCUUUUAUAUUAAUAUUUUCUCUUAAUUUAUUUUUUCAUUUAUUUUUUAUUUAUAAUUUAAAAAAAUUUUAUAAAGUUCAAAAUUUUUUAUUUUUUCAUUUUCUUAUUUUUUUGUCUAUUUUUUUUGCUACUUUUUGUUCUAUUUUAUAAAUUUUCAAUAACUUUUUCCCUUCAAAAUUUUCUUUCUUUUUGCCUUUUUUUCAUAUGCUUUCAUUUUUAUUUGUUUUAAUUCUUUCAAUGUUUUAAAAUUAUUUAUAUUUCUUUACGCUUUUUUUUUUCACAAAUUUCCCUUCACUUCUUAUUUGUUUUUUUAAAUUCUCAUAAUUUUUUUUUUUUGCAUUUUCUCCUUUGGUUUUCAUUUUUACUUUGAAUUAACUUUUCUCUUUUUUAAUUUUUUGCCUUUGACUUUUUAUAUUAUUUUCUCAUUAUGUCUUAUAUGUUUUUCAAUUUUUUGUAUUUUUUGAACUAUUUUUUUUUUCAUUUUGUCAUUCCAUUUCAUUUUUGAAGUUUUUAUUCAAUUUUUGUCUUUUUUAUUUUCUUACUUUUUAUAUUUUUAUUUUAUUUUUUUAUUUUAUCAUUGUUGGUUCUUUUCUAUUGCAUUUUUAUAAUUUUUCUUCAACUUUUUCUCCUUUCAAAUUUUUCUUCUUUUUUUUACUUAUUUUUUCAUGUGCUUUCAUAUUUUUUUGUUUUCACUUUUUUCUUUGUUUCAAAAUAUUCUAUAAACUUUUUUUCUUUUUGUUUUAUCUCAUAAUUUUGACUCUUCAUUUUUUUAUUUUUUUCUUGUUUUAACUUUUUUUUGCCCUUCCUUGUCUUAUUUUUAUUUUGUAUUAAAUUUUUCCCUUCGUUAAUUU